AGGAUAUCUAGUUCGAGAAGGCGAGAUUUUAGCUUUCUUUGUGAAGCGUUUGGUGAAGGGUUGAUAAAAAGACAAAUAAUAGGGACUUUCUAGAUUUGGAAGAGGACGGGCUGGAUGGAAUACUUUUCCCCAGUCAUUGGACUUGUUCGAAGAGCUAGUUCUCUGGAAAGCCCAAGCCAGGUGGAUGGUUAUGGUCGAUGCAUUGCGGCUGGGAAAAACACGAUAGAUAGAAAAGGUGAAAAUUGCCUAACUGAGUUUCGUUGAAUACUGAGUUGGUGACAAGCAUUAAUGAUAGUGAUUAUUGUGUAGAUGCAGUAGUGUGUAAUUAAAGUAAUGAUUUGUUUAUAUUUUACAAUCAAGAACAACAAAAUACGUCUGACCAGUUUGAGAUAUGUAGUCAAUUAAAGUAUGAUCG
This is a non-coding RNA of Paramuricea clavata, 415 nucleotides long. The record is from the annotation of a GenBank genome assembly. NCBI's taxonomy places the organism in Eukaryota, Metazoa, Cnidaria, Anthozoa, Malacalcyonacea, Plexauridae.